This 200-nucleotide long non-coding RNA is filed under the name Capsicum annuum. RNAcentral's name for it is "long non-coding RNA (CANN_LNC013441)". Lineage: Eukaryota; Viridiplantae; Streptophyta; Magnoliopsida; Solanales; Solanaceae. The record is from RNAcentral.
AAUGUGGAAAAAGGAAAGUUACCAGACCUUCCAUCCACUAUACCAAACUAUUGUUGCUGCCACCAUUAAUGUGCUGCUCUUGUCCAUCUUUUUGAAAAUUCCAUGAAAAUGAUACUCCUUCAAACGGUUCUUUUUCUCAAGAUCUCCAACAAUCGAAGUUCUUCAAUUGGUUCCUUCAGAUCGGAAGUUUGGGAAUACCA